Xiphophorus hellerii (green swordtail) is the source of this 1246-nucleotide long non-coding RNA. RefSeq lists it as uncharacterized. The record is from RefSeq and is a predicted model, not a curated record. NCBI's taxonomy places the organism in Eukaryota, Metazoa, Chordata, Actinopteri, Cyprinodontiformes, Poeciliidae. The transcript has 3 exons.
GAGGUUCAGUGACCGGAGCCUUUGCUCAGACUGGACACGUGCACGCAAAGCGCUCAAUAUAAAAUAAAGAACCCCCUUUCAAAUGUUUGAGCUCUUUUGGAGGAAGCCGAAACGUGAAGGAACCCUGCUGCAGUAUCUCAACGUUGCAAAGUCUCACACUCAGGCCAGGAUAGCUAAUCUUCUUACUAAUCACAAGGCUGGACUGUUGGAACAGAACAAAGUUCACACUGACAACAGAGGGAGAGUGGCGGGGAGUCUAGAACAGCGGCAGAUUUGACCAAAUAGCAAAAGCAGAGGAAAAGAUUAGGCCUCAGAGCAAGAAUGUCUUUUUAGUUGUUUUUGUUUUUUUUGCAAAAUAAAUUGCUGUCACACUCUGGCAGAGGUUGGACCUGGCAACAUGUACAUCCACACACUGAAGGAUCCUGAAAACUAACAAGCAUGGAGGUGCUGAGUGGCCCCUGGGCUGAUCUGGCCCUUUUCCUGCAACAGGCUGCCACACACAGAGACACGGACAGCUUUCUUCCUCUCUGGCUGUUUGGAUUGUUGCUGUUCCUGUCAGUCUGUCUGCUGCUGCUGCAACUAAUCGUCUACUUCAGCUGGAAGCUCAGACAGGCUGAGGGGGAUCUGUCCAGGUUUGAGCAGGACCGAAGUGCCAUCCACAGGCAGAGGCACAAAAGUGCCAGUCAGAGGAGAAGUUUUGGAUCACAUUCCUAUUCCUGACAGGAAUCUCUUAACAGUGACGGACAAAAUUUGACUUAUGUACAUAUAAUAUUUGAACACUACUCGGUGUGGAAAUUGUGGAUACAUCUCCAAAUGUGUAAUAACUCUUUUGCAGCGUUUUUUUAAAAAUUGGAUACUGUACUGUUCAUAUUAUGUAUGAUACUGAUCUUCUACACAGUUCUCAGCUUAUGUACGACAGUUUGCAUUAUUUAGGUUUUAAUAUAAAUAAAAUAAGUGUCUGGGGAAAAAAAAAAGACGACUGGAAGUGUUUCAGAGUAUAACAAUUGUUUAUUUGAACAGUGUUACACAGGGGCGAGGAGUGGCUGCGUGUGAGGAGACAACACGAUUAUGCAGCUAGACUAAACAACCUACCAGUGAUGUGUUGGUAGCAGGAAGCAAAGAGGUGGCUAGUUAAUUUCUUCAAAAUGUCCGUCUUCAUAAACGUCUUAAGAUUUAUUUCUUGUUAGGUGAGAUACAAAAAAAUGUGCCGUUAUUGUGGGGAAUAAAGCCUGAGAAUACAAUUCCU